This is a long non-coding RNA of Haliotis rubra (blacklip abalone), 85 nucleotides long. RefSeq lists it as uncharacterized. The transcript is spliced from 3 exons. The record is from RefSeq and is a predicted model, not a curated record. NCBI's taxonomy places the organism in Eukaryota, Metazoa, Mollusca, Gastropoda, Lepetellida, Haliotidae.
UUUCUGUGCUCCCAUGACAUCUUCUUGUUCAAUACAAACAUCCAAAUACACUAUAAUGAUGUUCUAUAUUUAUUAUAUACUCUCC